GAAAGCUAUUUAGGUAGCGCCUCGUGAAUUCAUCUCCGGGGGUAGAGCACUGUUUCGGCAAGGGGGUCAUCCCGACUUACCAACCCGAUGCAAACUGCGAAUACCGGAGAAUGUUAUCACGGGAGACACACGGCGGGUGCUAACGUCCGUCGUGAAGAGGGAAACAACCCAGACCGCCAGCUAAGGUCCCAAAGUCAUGGUUAAGUGGGAAACGAUGUGGGAAGGCCCAGACAGCCAGGAUGUUGGCUUAGAAGCAGCCAUCAUUUAAAGAAAGCGUAAUAGCUCACUGGUCGAGUCGGCCUGCGCGGAAGAUGUAACGGGGCUAAACCAUGCACCGAAGCUGCGGCAGCGACACUAUGUGUUGUUGGGUAGGGGAGCGUUCUGUAAGCCUGCGAAGGUGUGCUGUGAGGCAUGCUGGAGGUAUCAGAAGUGCGAAUGCUGACAUAAGUAACGAUAAAGCGGGUGAAAAGCCCGCUCGCCGGAAGACCAAGGGUUCCUGUCCAACGUUAAUCGGGGCAGGGUGAGUCGACCCCUAAGGCGAGGCCGAAAGGCGUAGUCGAUGGGAAACAGGUUAAUAUUCCUGUACUUGGUGUUACUGCGAAGGGGGGACGGAGAAGGCUAUGUUGGCCGGGCGACGGUUGUCCCGGUUUAAGCGUGUAGGCUGGUUUUCCAGGCAAAUCCGGAAAAUCAAGGCUGAGGCGUGAUGACGAGGCACUACGGUGCUGAAGCAACAAAUGCCCUGCUUCCAGGAAAAGCCUCUAAGCAUCAGGUAACAUCAAAUCGUACCCCAAACCGACACAGGUGGUCAGGUAGAGAAUACCAAGGCGCUUGAGAGAACUCGGGUGAAGGAACUAGGCAAAAUGGUGCCGUAACUUCGGGAGAA
RNAcentral lists this ribosomal RNA (883 nucleotides) under Escherichia coli. RNAcentral's name for it is "partial 23S ribosomal RNA". It matches the Rfam family "Bacterial large subunit ribosomal RNA", at positions 861 to 1744 of the family's 2925-position model. Lineage: Bacteria; Pseudomonadati; Pseudomonadota; Gammaproteobacteria; Enterobacterales; Enterobacteriaceae. The record is from RNAcentral.